RNAcentral lists this ribosomal RNA (446 nucleotides) under uncultured bacterium. RNAcentral describes it as "partial 16S ribosomal RNA". It matches the Rfam family "Bacterial small subunit ribosomal RNA", at positions 338 to 795 of the family's 1533-position model. The record is from RNAcentral.
CCUACGGGUGGCAGCAGUCGAGAAUUAUGCACAAUGGGGGAAACACUGAUGGUGCGACGCCGCGUGGGGGAAUGAAGGUCUUCGGAUUGUAAACCUCUGUCAUGUGGGAGCAAAUUAAAAAGAUCGUACCACAAGAGGUAUAGACGGCUAACUCUGUGCCAGCAGCUGCGGUAAUACAGCGGAGUCAAGCGUUGUUCGGAAUCACUGGGCGUAAAGUGUGCGUAGGCAGUUUCGUAAGGCGGGUGUGAAAGGCGCGGGCUCAACCCGCGGACGGCACAUGAUACUGGGAGUCUAGAGUAAUGGAGGGGUAACCGGAAUUCUCGGUGUAGCGGUGAAAUGCAUAGAUAUCGCGAAGAACACUCGUGGCGAAGGCGGGUUCCUGGACAUUAACUGACGCUGAGGCACGAAGGCCAGGGGAGCGAACAGGAUUAGAUACCCUAGUAGUC